This 520-nucleotide ribosomal RNA is filed under the name uncultured Glomus. RNAcentral describes it as "SSU rRNA". It matches the Rfam family "Eukaryotic small subunit ribosomal RNA", at positions 569 to 1089 of the family's 1831-position model. Lineage: Eukaryota; Fungi; Glomeromycota; Glomeromycetes; Glomerales; Glomeraceae. The record is from RNAcentral.
AGCAGCCGCGGUAAUUCCAGCUCCAAUAGCGUAUAUUAAAGUUGUUGCAGUUAAAAAGUUCGUAGUUGAAUUUCGGGGUUAGUAGGUUGGUCAUGCCUCUGGUAUGUACUGGUCUCACUGAUUCCUCCUUCCUGAUGAACCUUAAUGCCAUUAAUUUGGUGUUUUGGGGAAUUUGGACUAUUACUUUGAAAAAAUUUAGAGUGUUUAAAGCAGGCUCACGCUUGAAUACAUUAGCAUGGAAUAAUGAAAUAGGACGUUUGAUUCUAUUUUGUUGGUUUCUAGGAUCGACGUAAUGAUUAAUAGGGAUAGUUGGGGGCAUUAGUAUUCAAUUGUCAGAGGUGAAAUUCUUGGAUUUAUUGAAGACUAACUACUGCGAAAGCAUUUGCCAAGGAUGUUUUCAUUAAUCAAGAACGAAAGUUAGGGGAUCGAAGACGAUCAGAUACUGUCGUAGUCUUAACCAUAGACUAUGCCGACUAGGGAUCGGAUGAGUUAAUUUUUUUAAUGACUCAUUCGGCGCCUU